AAAAUCUUCCAACAAGAUAUGUAGUGUUAAAAAAAAGGAAAAUAACGUAAGAAAAUUGGCAAAAGGAAAAGUACCCACUAUGUUGCAUUGAUUCAUUUCCCACCAAAUCCACAAUUUGCUCUCAUUCUCUUCUUUUCAUUUUCCACGCAAAAUCAAAAGUUUUCAACGACAAUUACAUAGAGAAACAAAAAUAAACAAAUGUUGCCUCUUCCUUUUCAUUUUCCUCUAGGCGUUGACCAAUUGAUGUCUUCACAAAUCCAAAGAAGAUCAGAGCCGUAGAGAUUAAGAAGAUUCAAGGACAUGAGCAGCUGGUGAUUCUGUAAUUGAAUGGGAAUGAUUGUGUUCUCCUUCAUAUGUAACAAUUAACAUAGUUGGAUCAUCUAAUGCUCUUUCCACAUGUUUACGUGCUGGACAUCCUCUUACACUACUACAUUUGUAAUAUCCCCUGAAAAUUUAGAGUUCAAUACUAAAUUCUAAUUUAACUCCUAGAACCAAACUUACACUACUACAUUUGUAAUAUCCCCUGAAAAUUUAGAGUUCAAUACUAAACUCUAAUUUAACUCCUAGAACCAAAAUAAUCUACUUAAUAAGCCAUAAAAACUUACCUAGGAUGAGGAGAGCCUUUAAUUGGCU
This 633-nucleotide long non-coding RNA is filed under the name Nicotiana benthamiana. Its description in RNAcentral is "long non-coding RNA (NBEN_LNC019777)". Lineage: Eukaryota; Viridiplantae; Streptophyta; Magnoliopsida; Solanales; Solanaceae. The record is from RNAcentral.